This 301-nucleotide ribosomal RNA is filed under the name Staphylococcus xylosus. RNAcentral's name for it is "bacterial SSU rRNA". It matches the Rfam family "Bacterial small subunit ribosomal RNA", at positions 59 to 349 of the family's 1533-position model. The record is from RNAcentral. Lineage: Bacteria; Bacillati; Bacillota; Bacilli; Caryophanales; Staphylococcaceae.
AAGUCGAGCGAACAGAUAAGGAGCUUGCUCCUUUGAAGUUAGCGGCGGACGGGUGAGUAACACGUGGGUAACCUACCUAUAAGACUGGGAUAACUUCGGGAAACCGGAGCUAAUACCGGAUAACAUUUAGAACCGCAUGGUUCUAAAGUGAAAGAUGGUUUUGCUAUCACUUAUAGAUGGACCCGCGCCGUAUUAGCUAGUUGGUAAGGUAACGGCUUACCAAGGCGACGAUACGUAGCCGACCUGAGAGGGUGAUCGGCCACACUGGAACUGAGACACGGUCCAGACUCCUACGGGAGGC